This 267-nucleotide non-coding RNA is filed under the name Aspergillus fischeri NRRL 181. Its description in RNAcentral is "Neosartorya fischeri NRRL 181 Bacterial large subunit ribosomal RNA". It matches the Rfam family "Bacterial large subunit ribosomal RNA", at positions 1 to 488 of the family's 2925-position model. Lineage: Eukaryota; Fungi; Ascomycota; Eurotiomycetes; Eurotiales; Aspergillaceae. The record is from Rfam by way of RNAcentral.
GGCAAGUAUAUAAAGAAAUUAUUAUGGAUAAUUAGCUAUAUAUUAAAGAAUAUCUAGUCAAUCUAGUUUCUAAGAGAAAUCAGAUAAUAAACGAAGUGAAUUGAAAUAUCUUAGUAACUUUAGGAAAAGAAAUCAAACGAGAUUGUUAUUUGGUGUCAACUAAAUAACAAAAGCCUAAUAACAAAACUUGUUAAAAGUAAAAUGGAUUAAAAUCUGUUUGAAUAUAGGGGAACCUUCCUCUAAGGCUAAAAAUGAUAUAUAAGCGAU